AUGUUUUCCAGACUGUUGUAAUGAAUGGAUUGGUAAAUAAAAAAAAAAAAAAAAAAAAAAAAAAAAAAAAAAAAUCUGUUCUUAUCAGUUUAAUAUCUGAUACGUCCCCCAUCCGGGGACUACAUAUUAAAUGGAUUUUUAGAUCACGGAGCUGGAGCCGGGGCUUGCUCCGUCCACUCCAUGCAUCGGCCUGGUAUUGCAGUGUCUCCAGGAACGGUGUGCUUUCC
RNAcentral lists this small nuclear RNA (227 nucleotides) under Carassius auratus (goldfish). Its description in RNAcentral is "U2 spliceosomal RNA (ENSCARG00000057441.1)". The stretch from base 25 to 227 matches the Rfam family "U2 spliceosomal RNA". From Rfam's summary of the family: U2 is a small nuclear RNA (snRNA) component of the spliceosome (involved in pre-mRNA splicing). Complementary binding between U2 snRNA (in an area lying towards the 5' end but 3' to hairpin I) and the branchpoint sequence (BPS) of the intron results the bulging out of an unpaired adenosine, on the BPS, which initiates a nucleophilic attack at the intronic 5' splice site, thus starting the first of two transesterification reactions that mediate splicing. Lineage: Eukaryota; Metazoa; Chordata; Actinopteri; Cypriniformes; Cyprinidae. The record is from RNAcentral.